ACAAAGAGCUUUUGGAAUUCUGGAAUUUAAACAUUCUGAAUAGUUUAUUUGUCUUGACGGAAAGUAAAAAGAACAAACUUGUUUUAUACAAAAUCAGAUGCUCCAAAUGGUCAGUUGAUGAUGAUACCAAUCAAAGAAAACUAAGGAGGAAGAAAAAGAAAACAGGAAAGAGAGGAGGCAACAGGAAAAUCGGCCUUCUUCCUUCAGUCUACGCUUGAAAUUGCCAGGGAUGGAUAAAUCUGAAGAUGAAUGAAAAAAAGAAACUACUGGGAACGGAACAGAAACAAAAAAAAAGGAUGGGAAAUCUGAAGCUGCUAUUUCUUAUUCUGAUCUUAAUAGCAGGAUACAGUUGAAUAAUAACAUUAUCUAUUGGAGAUCACUGAAAUGUAGGGAGGGAAUUCCAUUUUGAAAACUUUAAUAUGUAGAGAGUCAAUACAUCAUUUUCACAAGCAAUAUCCUUAGAAGAAAGGAUUUUUUUUAGAACUAUCAUGCUACAGAAAACUGCAUUUUUAUAGUAACUGAAAGAUGCAAAGUUACUGAAAAAAUAAAACUGCCAUUUUAUUGUAUUGCCAUUAAUCACAUGGUUUGAAUUUUGAUUACUUGUAGAGACUGAGACUAUUAAAUGGUGGAAUAUUUCUAUGGACAACAUUCAGAUAGUAUUCUCAAUGCUUCACUACUCCCUUAACCCAUUUUGGUGUACUUUAGAAAUGUAAUACUGUCGUUGUUGGGUUUUUUUUAAAACACAAGAAAGCAAUAAACACAUUGAGAUAGAAUCCCCCUAACUUGCUCUCCAAUAAAAACAGACUUUGCAUUAUUUA
RNAcentral lists this long non-coding RNA (818 nucleotides) under Homo sapiens (human). RNAcentral describes it as "HSALNT0335872". The record is from RNAcentral. Lineage: Eukaryota; Metazoa; Chordata; Mammalia; Primates; Hominidae.